RNAcentral lists this small RNA (1075 nucleotides) under Arabidopsis thaliana (thale cress). RNAcentral describes it as "ATSL195170". The record is from RNAcentral. Lineage: Eukaryota; Viridiplantae; Streptophyta; Magnoliopsida; Brassicales; Brassicaceae.
UAAAUAUUUUAGAAUGAUUUUAUUCUCUAGGUAAUUAUUUGAUCUAUUAUACCCGAAUGAUCAACCCCGACUAAGAACAAAUCUAAGCUUAAUCGUUCCUCUGUUUCUUAUCACCCGCCUGAUUACAAACACCCACUUUCUAAGCUUUUGCUAGGUUUCGAAAGCUUUACACGUAUGGCAAUAUUCUAGAGUGCUUAGGCGGCUCAAUGCCUACUCCUAGAAGAUUUAUGCUAUUCUCGCUAACCUUAAUCCCUAGGAUCUCCGAGAAUCAAUGAGCGGAAUCUUUCUUGAAUCGUCAAGCCUAUUUCUUUUCCUUGUUCGAGAUCCUCCUUAAUAUUUAAGCCUAUCUCUUUCCUUGUUCGAGAUCCUCCUUGAUAUUCAAGCCUAUCUUUUUCCUUAUUUGUUGAGAAGAAUAUUCACCAAAUCUUCUCAACCGACUUUCGUCUUUAAUUACCAUGCCAAGUCAGCAAAGCUUCUUGACACGUCAGAUCAACCACUCCAGCUCCGCCAUGUCAGCUCACGCGUCCAUGUCAGCAACUCAGACGUUUGAUGUAGAUUUGAUGCAGCUUCCUGAUAUCCAACAGCUCUCUGAUGUCCAUCAGCUCGUUGUUGUCAGAAUCUGCAUCUUCAAUCUCCCCCUUUUUGACUUAGUUUGAUACUCAAGCAUCCUUCUGAUUCAACUUGAAAAGAUACUAAACAAACCAAACAAAGAUAAACAGAACAAGCAAUAUCUAGCUAUAGAUAAAAGCUUGUUCAUAUGAGAACUAUCUUAAGAACGCAAAACAUCAAUAACAGCGAAAAUCAAAUUCUUAACCGUUUACAUCACUCAGAAGAAUUCUACCAACGAACUCUAACAACAGGCAGUGAAACUAUGUCUAAACUCAAAACGAAUCAAAUUCAAACAAGUCUCCCACAUAAACAGUGAACACUGCUCAACUAGUAAUUAGUCAACAAUACUUAUCAAGUAAUCAGUCAACUAUGAACAUUACUAAGUAGUCAGCAGUCUGUCAAACUCCCCCACAAUCAAGCAUUCUAUAAACCAGAGUCAUCUCCCCCUGCUUGAGUGCAUAACUAA